Molecule: long non-coding RNA, 1352 nt
Organism: Hypanus sabinus (Atlantic stingray)
Lineage: Eukaryota; Metazoa; Chordata; Chondrichthyes; Myliobatiformes; Dasyatidae
Exons: 3
Source: RefSeq, a predicted model, not a curated record
CUUCUAGUCCAGGAUUCUGAGAUGACCAAUGUGAGAAUCAUGACCUUCCUCAGUCAGAACAUGAGGCUCCUGUAACUCCACCCUCAUGGUAGUAAUGAGAAGAGGACAUUUCCUAAGUGACGGAUGCCACCUCCUGAGGCGAUACCACCUGAAGAUGUCCAUGGUGCGAGGGAAGGCUGUGCUCACGGUGAAGACUGGCUGAUUACCUAAAGCUUAACUUUCAGGUCGGGUUGGUUGUAAAGAAGGCAAGCUAUCAGUCAGUCAUGUUGUCUCCUCAUCAAAGCUUCCUCGACGAUAUACAACAUCCUUGCUGACUCACAGGAACCUCUGGUGCAUGACCUCUCCUGUUCAAAAAGGGGCAUUCAGGACAGAACUGACAGCCUUGAGGCCUUGUAUCAGGAACACACAAAUGCUUCAAGCAAAUGGUGGAAGUUCUCUUCUUCACCAAUCAUCCACCUUAUCAAACACUUUUUAACCUAUCCAAGGAAGAAUCUGUGGAUCCCACAUCUGGUGAAAGGUGAAAUAUUUAAGGGGAAUCUGUGGGGAAAUUUCUCCAGUCGGAGGGUAGUGAGAGUGUGGAAUGAGCUGCCAGUAGAGGUGGUAGAUGUGGGUUUAAAUGUAACACUUAAGAGAAGUUUAGAUAGGUAAAUAUAUAGGAGAGAUAAAGAGGGAUAUAGUCUGGGUGCAGGUAGAUGGGACUAGGCAGAAAAUUAGGCCGCUAUGGACAGCUAGGCCUAAGAUCCUUCUUCUGUGCUGUAGGCAUCUGUGAUUCUAUGACUCUUGGAGACAUUGGAGAGAAAGGGUUUGCUUUUCUUGAAACAGUGGUAGCCAUGAUAGAGAUAUACAAGAUUGUGGGAAAAACAGAGUGGACAGACUAAAUAAAACUUACUUUGUGAUUCAGAGGUUUGGAGAUCGACUGUCGAUUUGUUUUCAGUAAGAGAUACUAGUACAUACUGCCUAAAGUAUUGGUGGAGGAGAGUAGUUUCACAACGUUUCAGAAGCACCUCAACAAGCAGCUGAAUUAGCAAAGUAAGAAGGGUACAGAUAAGUGCAGAAUUAACAUAGAUGGGUACUUGAUGUUUGUCACGAAUAAAGGGGCCAUUUCUGUGUAAUAUGACUUCAUAGUCCCAUCAUCCUUGAUCCCAUUGGGCCUCUAAAGCUUAUUUACUGUUGUCCAAGGCACAAAUUAUUUGCAAACUUUGAAACUGUAAGACGUUCAUCCAGAUUCUGAAUAUUAUUGUUGUUCUGUCUGUACAACUACAUUUCAAUUAAAUUAAGUGCACACACGCAGGAGAUGGCUUUAACUGGAGUGUUCAUAUUGCAGUGAGAGAGAAAGAGAUCAACAUGCAUGU